UUUAGCUGGGUGCUCGGGGUCAAUGGCCGCGCCGCCGCCAUCUCCGCGUCGGAACUGUCCUAUGGAAAUCCUCGAUGGAGAUGUUGUCCCUCCACCGCCUCCCUUACGCAUUGAAGCUACUGUUUCUCACCAAGGGCAUGCGUUAAUUGAAGAAGUUGCUGCAGCUACAACACUUUGCUCCCUUUAUCUAGAGACCCAAGAUUCUCACCAAGGAUGUGGAGUCUCACGAGAAAAACGAAGACUCCCAAAACCCCCACCAAAGAAGAUGCCGAGGUCGCCUUAGUGGUGCCCGUAGUGGGAUCCCCAGGGGUAAAUGUCAUGUUAUCUCAGGCAUCACCAAGAUUCGGUGUGAAACGAUCGUCGACAACACCGCCUCAGAUUCCUCGUCUUUCACGUAGAAACAAAAAACGGAAACUUAAAUCUGAAAUCUGGAAUGAUUUUGAUCCUGUGUAUGAUGGCAACAAACUCAAGGAAGCCAAUUGUAAACAUUGCAAGAGAAUUUUUGUGGUUGCAAGAAAAGCUGGUACUAGUGAAUGCAUUAGGCAUUUGUUAGUUUGUGAGGAAA
Long non-coding RNA from Hordeum vulgare subsp. vulgare (domesticated barley), 565 nucleotides. RefSeq lists it as uncharacterized. NCBI's taxonomy places the organism in Eukaryota, Viridiplantae, Streptophyta, Magnoliopsida, Poales, Poaceae. The record is from RefSeq and is a predicted model, not a curated record. The transcript is spliced from 3 exons.